UACGUAGGUCCCGAGCGUUGUCCGGAUUUAUUGGGCGUAAAGCGAGCGCAGGUGGUUUAAUAAGUCUGAUGUAAAAGGCAGUGGCUCAACCAUUGUGUGCAUUGGAAACUGUUAGACUUGAGUGCAGUAGAGGAGAGUGGAAUUUCCUGUGUAGCGGUGAAAUGCGUAGAUAUAUGGAGGAACACCGGUGGCGAAAGCGGCUCUCUGGACUGUAACUGACACUGAGGCUCGAAAGCGUGGGUAGCAAACAGG
RNAcentral lists this ribosomal RNA (252 nucleotides) under uncultured microorganism. RNAcentral's name for it is "partial 16S ribosomal RNA". It matches the Rfam family "Bacterial small subunit ribosomal RNA", at positions 524 to 776 of the family's 1533-position model. The record is from RNAcentral.